GAACGAGCUUAGAGCUUGCUUUUUCUUAGUGGCGAACGGGUGAGUAACGCGUGAGUACCUGCCCUAGAGUGGGGGACAACAGUUGGAAACGACUGCUAAUACCGCAUAAACCGCAUGGUAAAAGGAUUUAUUCGCUUUAGGAUGGACUCGCGUCCAAUUAGCUAGUUGGUGAGGUAACGGUCCACCAAACCUACGAUCAGUAGCCGGUCUGAGAGGAUGAACGGCCACACUGGAACUGAGACACGGUCCAGACUCCUACGGGAGGCAGCAGUGGGGAAUCUUCCGCAAUGGACGAAAGUCUGACGGAGCAACGCCGCGUGAGUGAUGACGGCCUUCGGGUUGUAAAGCUCUGUGAUCGGGGACGAAGGCUGGUAUGCAAUACCAUAUCAGAGUGACGGUACCCGAAUAGCAAGCCACGGCUAACUACGUGCCAGCAGCCGCGGUAAUACGUAGGUGGCAAGCGUUGUCCGGAAUUAUUGGGCGUAAAGCGCGCGCAGGCGGCUUCUUAAGUCCAUCUUAAAAGUGCGGGGCUUAACCCCGUGAUGGGAUGGAAACUGGGAGGCUGGAGUAUCGGAGAGGAAAGUGGAAUUCCUAGUGUAGCGGUG
RNAcentral lists this ribosomal RNA (605 nucleotides) under uncultured bacterium. RNAcentral's name for it is "bacterial SSU rRNA". It matches the Rfam family "Bacterial small subunit ribosomal RNA", at positions 64 to 683 of the family's 1533-position model. The record is from RNAcentral.